This 468-nucleotide ribosomal RNA is filed under the name uncultured bacterium. RNAcentral describes it as "partial 16S ribosomal RNA". It matches the Rfam family "Bacterial small subunit ribosomal RNA", at positions 28 to 507 of the family's 1533-position model. The record is from RNAcentral.
GACGAACGCUGGCGGCGUGCUUAACACAUGCAAGUCGAACGGAAAGGCCCUGCUUUUGUGGGGUGCUCGAGUGGCGAACGGGUGAGUAACACGUGAGUAACCUGCCCUUGACUUUGGGAUAACUGCAGGAAACUGGGGCUAAUACCGGAUAGGAGAUCCUGCAGCAGGGGGGGGGUUGGAAAGUUUCGGCGGUGGUGGCUGGACGCGCGGCUUAUCAGCUGGUUGGGUGGGUAGUGGCUUACCAAGUCUUUGACUGGUCGCCGGCCUGGGAGCGUGACCGCCGUCCUUGCUCCUGCGGUACGGCGCAGACUCCUACGGGGGGCAGCGGUGGAGAAUAUUGCACAGUGGGCCGGCGUCUGUUGCGGCAGCCUUGCGUGCGUAAAGACGGCCUUCGGGUUGUAAACCGCUUUCGCCUGUGACGAAGCUUGAGUGACGUUACUGGGUAAAGAAGCACCGGCUAACUACGUG